RNAcentral lists this ribosomal RNA (468 nucleotides) under uncultured bacterium. RNAcentral describes it as "partial 16S ribosomal RNA". It matches the Rfam family "Bacterial small subunit ribosomal RNA", at positions 28 to 507 of the family's 1533-position model. The record is from RNAcentral.
GACGAACGCUGGCGGCGUGCUUAACACAUGCAAGUCGAACGGAAAGGCCCUGCUUUUUUGUUGUGCUCGACUUGCGAACGGGCGAGUAACACGUGAGUAACCUACCCUCGCUUUUGGGAUAACUUCCGGUAACUGACGCUAACUCAUGCUAGGUGCUCCCGCUGCAUGGUGGGGGUUGGGAAGUUUCGGCGGUUGGUGAUGGUCUCGCGGCUUAUCAGCUUGGUGGUGGGGUAGUGGCUUACCAAGGCGUGGACGGGUAGCCGGCCUGAGAGGGUGACCGGCGACAUAGGGACUGAGAUACGGCCCAGACGCCUACGGUAGGCAGCAGUGGGGAAUAUUGCACAAUGGGCGGAAGCCGGAUGCAGCAACGCCGCGUGUGGGAUGACGGCCUUCGGGGGGUAAACCGCUUUCGCCUGGAACGAAGCGUGAGUGACGGGAAUGGGUAAAGAAGCACCGGCUAAAUACGUG